Long non-coding RNA from Thalassophryne amazonica, 405 nucleotides. RefSeq lists it as uncharacterized. The transcript is spliced from 2 exons. The record is from RefSeq and is a predicted model, not a curated record. Lineage: Eukaryota; Metazoa; Chordata; Actinopteri; Batrachoidiformes; Batrachoididae.
UGACAUUAUGGGGUGUUGUGAGUAGAUUUUUGAGGGAAAAAUAAAUUUCCUCCAUUUUGGAAUAAGGCUUUAACAUAAAAUGUGGAAAACAUGAAGCACUGUGAAUACUUUCCGUGUGCACUGUAUGUCAUUACUUUCAAUAUUUGCACUGCGCAAAAUACAAUCACCACAGUUUAAAGCACUUGCAAUGUAUUACAGCUUGAAUGGUGAUAUAUGCAUUUGUUAUGUAGUUCUUGGAUUUGCCAGUGCAGAGAUUUAUGGCUGUUAACAGCAAACAGCGACGUGUCUGAGUCUGUGUGCUAAAUAUGGAUCCUGUGGACGUGAAGCCAUGGCGCAAAUAAUCAUUUUGAAAGCAGGUAUAAUGUACACCACAGCUCACCUAAAAAAAAAUAUAUAAUAAAUAAA